Molecule: ribosomal RNA, 404 nt
Filed under: uncultured Pseudomonadota bacterium
Lineage: Bacteria; Pseudomonadati; Pseudomonadota
Description: bacterial SSU rRNA
Rfam family: Bacterial small subunit ribosomal RNA
Source: RNAcentral
UGGGGAAUAUUGGACAAUGGGCGCAAGCCUGAUCCAGCCAUGCCGCGUGAGUGAUGAAGGCCUUAGGGUUGUAAAGCUCUUUUAUCCGGGACGAUAAUGACGGUACCGGAGGAAUAAGCCCCGGCUAACUUCGUGCCAGCAGCCGCGGUAAUACGAAGGGGGCUAGCGUUGCUCGGAAUCACUGGGCGUAAAGGGCGCGUAGGCGGCGUUUUAAGUCGGGGGUGAAAGCCUGUGGCUCAACCACAGAAUGGCCUUCGAUACUGGGACGCUUGAGUCUGGUAGAGGUUGGUGGAACUGCGAGUGUAGAGGUGAAAUUCGUAGAUAUUCGCAAGAACACCGGUGGCGAAGGCGGCCAACUGGACCAGCACUGACGCUGAGGCGCGAAAGCGUGGGGAGCAAACAGG